This 434-nucleotide ribosomal RNA is filed under the name uncultured bacterium. Its description in RNAcentral is "partial 16S ribosomal RNA". It matches the Rfam family "Bacterial small subunit ribosomal RNA", at positions 29 to 507 of the family's 1533-position model. The record is from RNAcentral.
AGCGAACGCUGGCGGCAGGCCUAACCCAUGCAAGUCGAACGAACCUUUCGGGGUUAGUGGCGGACGGGUGAGUAACACGUGGGAACGUGCCUUUAGGUUCGGAAUAACCCAGGGAAACUUGUGCUAAUACCGAAUGUGCCCUUCGGGGGAAAGAUUAAUCGCCUUUAGAUCGGCCCGCGUCUGUUUAGCUAGUUGGUUGAGGUAAUGGCUCACCAAGGCGACGAUCAGUAGCUGGCCUGAGAGGAUGAUCAGCCACAUUGGGACUGAGACACGGCCCAAACUCCGACGGGAGGCAGCAGUGGGGAAUAUUGCGCAAUGAGCGAAAGCCUGACGCAGCCAUGCCGCGUGAAUGAUGAAGGUCUUAGGAUUGUAAAAUUCUUUCAGCGGGGACGAUAAUGACGGUACCCGGAGAAGAAGCCCCGGCUAACUUCGUG